AUGGACACGUCGAGCUGGAGGCGCCGGAGCCUGGAGCGGUCAGGCUCCGUGCUGACAAGGUCGUUCGAAGUGCCCGACCCAAAGCCAGCCCCUGCAGCGGCCGCCAUCACCAAUGCCACGGUGCCCCCGCUGACCGGCAGCUCAGAGUUCUACCACUUCCACCAUGCCGAAGACCUGCUCGACCAACGGUUCAGCUCCAACUCUCUCGUCAAAGACUUCCCGGUGACCCUGGACGCCGCGUUCCCGGGCCCCGCCAAGAAGCCACGGCGUCUAGGCAAGGCGUGGAGCCUCUGGAGCUUCAUACACCGCCGGGCCACGGGCUGCCGGGGCAGCCCGUCCGACGCCGCGGACCGCGCGUUCUCGGCGCCGUAG
RNAcentral lists this ribosomal RNA (372 nucleotides) under Triticum aestivum (bread wheat). Its description in RNAcentral is "partial small subunit ribosomal RNA". The record is from RNAcentral. Lineage: Eukaryota; Viridiplantae; Streptophyta; Magnoliopsida; Poales; Poaceae.